Salvia splendens (bonfire salvia) is the source of this 1867-nucleotide RNA transcript. It is a transcript of the gene named glutathione S-transferase 2, with no coding region annotated. The transcript is spliced from 7 exons. The record is from RefSeq and is a predicted model, not a curated record. NCBI's taxonomy places the organism in Eukaryota, Viridiplantae, Streptophyta, Magnoliopsida, Lamiales, Lamiaceae.
GAAAAGUGUGCAAGCUAAAUAAGUGGGUAAAGAAAAGUAGACAGACUAGACUCACUUCUUCUUGGGCAAGUUGAAAGAAUUUUUGUUCAUGGUUGAAAUUGAGUGUGAUCAUGGGGAAGACAUUCGACUCUUGUUUUCACUUCAUUUCUAUUUUUGUAUGCAAAAGAAUCUGUGUAUAUUCUUAGAUGUUUAAAAUUGACAUGAUCACUGUUGAAGCAGGCUGAAGCUUUUCUCUCAUUGGCGGAGCUCUUGCUCCUGCGUUGUACGAAUUGCUCUCAAUCUUAAGGGUAAAUGGAAUUUUGAUUUACUAAUCCUUUUAUUUUAUUUUUAAGUUACUCAAAAAUCCGCUUCAUUUAUGUACCUAUAUGAUUAAUUGUGAGAAAAAUGAUCAGAGCUGGAGUAUGAGUACAUAGCGGUUAACUUGCAGAAAGGAGAUGUUAUGUUAAUGUUUGCUCUAAUGUAUGUGCAAAUUAUGAUAAAUAUUUUGAAUUUGAAAGACUUUUUGAAGCUUAAUCCGGUUGGAUUGGUGCCUGUGCUUAUGGAUGGAGAUACUGUUGUUUCAGACAAUUUUAUUGUAUCUGGAGGAGAGGUAUCCUCCUCAACGUCCCUUGUUACCUCACGAUAUACAGCUGAAGGCCCUCAAUUACCAGGCAGCAAACAUUAUUUUUGCAAGCAUACAACCUUACCAGAAUGUACCCAUCGUUCGGUAUAUUCAACAAAAACUGGGAGCUGAUGAGAAGCUUUCAUGGGUUCAGCAUCAUAUUAAAAAUGAGGUUUGCUGCUCUGGAGAAGUUUUUGGAAAAAUUCGCUGGAAAGUAUGCUACAGGAGAUGGAGUUUAUCUGGCUGAUUUGUAUUUGGCACCUCAGCAAUUAAUGGUUCAGCGUUGAUAUGGUAUGUCUUCAUUGAAACCCCACAAAGCACUUAUGAUGGAAUGGAAUGGAAUAAAGAUAGGAAUGUAAUGAAAAUUCUUUUGCAUUUCCGUUCUAUUCCAUCAUAUCAAGCAAAGAAUGGAAUGGAAUGGAAGUAGGAGUCACAUUCCAUUCCCUCAUUCUAUUCCAUUCCAUCAUACCAACAAGGGCUUCUUGUAUCAAUUUACUGUUUCAAUACCUUAAAUUCAUUUUCAUUUAUGUACAUUGAGCUCCAAAUUUUAUCGUUUCAGUUACUUAGGAAUACAUUUUCAUAUCAUGCAAGUAUUACACUCUUUUGUUUCUUGUAUGCUUUGAAACAGCUUAAUACUUGAGCUCCAAAUAUUUCUGGUAAACAUUAUGAACUUUUUCUGUACUGAAUUUUUUUUAUAAUUCAGAUGUUUAAUUUCUGUAAAUUAUGGACAUGGGUUUCUUUUCCAUUAAACUACAGAAAGAGUUCCCUCUUUUGUCAAAGCUCAACGAGGCAUACAAAGAACUCCCUGCUUUUCGAGAUGCAAUGCCUGGGAAGCAGCUUGACACGCCACCUGAGGCGAGAGACUGAUGGCACGAUUCUUUAACUAGAACCAGUCUACCUUGUUGUUUGCUAUAUCUCAUCGUGCAACACGGCCUCUACCAUCCUCUCCUCAGCGUGCUUAAAAUCAAUUUGCUCAGCUUCCCGCAGAAUAUUAAUGCUCUAAACGCACGUUAACAUUCGACAGAUAAUGUAUGCUUUGGUGCCCAAGCAAGAGAUGUACUGUAUUACUCCAUUCAAUAAGGUGGAAUCAUUAAUGAAAGGACCUCUGUAUAGCUUGUAAGCACACAACGCAUCAGUCCUUAGCUCUGGUUCUACACUCAAACCACUGUUUACUUAUUGUUUGAAUUUGUGUAGUAGUUUAUAUCAACAAACUCACCUUAUGACUUUCUAAAUAGUGAUUAAUACAAGUUGUGGUACUUGGCCAAA